Molecule: unclassified non-coding RNA, 867 nt
Filed under: Hevea brasiliensis (rubber tree)
Lineage: Eukaryota; Viridiplantae; Streptophyta; Magnoliopsida; Malpighiales; Euphorbiaceae
Source: RNAcentral
AAUUAUAAUUGAUUUAAAAGUUCUAUGAAAAUUAAUGCCCAGAUGAGCCGCCAAAGUAUGCAUGAAGCUUCAAGAGCUGAUUGCAGUAUUCUAGGGAAGCCUUGGCCAAUUCCUAUGCCGAAGGAAGCCUUUGAACAUCAAUUUGCCAUACAUUCAAGGUUUACGACAAAAUGAAUCCAAUUUCGCAAAGCUUUAAGCCCUGGACGCCAACAGGCACCGUGAAGCUACCAGCAGGACACUAAAGAGUAGGGCCAAGCAUUUUUCAGUCUGAACCAAAAAACCAAACCGAGCCAAUUUGGUUCAAUCAUUUCGGCUUUUCAGUUAAUUCGGUGCAGUUCGGUUAUGGGUUUUCACUAUUUUUGGUUUCGGUUCGGUUUCUUUUUUUCAGUUAAAACUAAAAAAAAUUCCCAUGUACAGUUGAGGGCACAGGAGAAAUGCCAUACCACCCAUAGAAAAAUCCUUAAUUCUUAAUGUCAUUUAUGUCUUAAAAGAAGUGUAAAGAACUCCUUUCCCAGCUGCCUGUUUCUCUUUUGCAUGGGUUUUCUCGCCUCAGUCCUCUCUUCUUCUUCAUGGACAUCGCAACUCGCCUCUCUUCCCCUCUCGUCUCUGCCUUGCUUGUUUUCCUUGUCAUUGUCGCUGACCAGGUAUUGUCACUUGAAAGGUCAGUUGAAGGUUGCACCGCCCUCUGCUGCAAUGUAAGCUCCCUCUUUUCUCUAGUCUAUUUUUUAUAGUCGAGCAUUUCUAUCCCUAUUUGAGUCUCAUGGUUGCUGAAACAAAUGGGUGAAUAUAGUUUGUGGUCGAGAUUGUUGGCCUUCAUCAAAUCACUUCACCUUCAAGGAUUCCUUGCUUUUUUUUUUUUUUUUUGUU